Molecule: ribosomal RNA, 253 nt
Filed under: uncultured bacterium
Lineage: Bacteria
Description: partial 16S ribosomal RNA
Rfam family: Bacterial small subunit ribosomal RNA
Source: RNAcentral
UACGUAGGAGACGAGCGUUGUCCGGAAUUACUGGGCGUAAAGCGCGUGUAGGCGGAUGAGCAAGUCUGCUGUGAAAGCUCCUGGCUUAACCGGGAGUGGUCGGUGGAAACUGCUCGUCUGGAGGACGGUAGAGGUAGGUAGAAUUCCCGGUGUAGUGGUGAAAUGCGUAGAUAUCUGGAGGAACACCGGUGGCGAAGGCGGCAUUCUGGACCAUAACUGACACUGAGAGACGAAAGCCAGGGGAGCAAACGGG